GACGAACGCUGGCGGCGUGCUUAACACAUGCAAGUCGAACGGUGAAGCGCCUUCCUUUUUGGUGGGUGUGGAUGAGUGGCGAACGGGUGAGUAACACGUGAGUAACCUGCCCCCUUCUUCUGGAUAACCGCAUGAAAGUGUGGCUAAUACGGGAUAUUCUGGGUCUGUCGCAUGAUGGGUCUGGGAAAGAUAUUGUUUCGGUGGGGGAUGGGCUCGCGGCCUAUCAGCUUGUUGGUGGGGUGAUGGCCUACCAAGGCGGUGACGGGUAGCCGGCCUGGGAGGGUGGGCGGUAAGAGUGGGGAGGAGAGGCGGCCCAGACUGCGGGGGGAGGCAGCAGGGGGGAGUAUUGCAGGAGGGGCGGAAGGCUGAAGCAGCGACGCGGCGGGGGGGAUGGGGGGCGGCGGGUUGUGAACGUCUGUCGCGAGUGAAGCGGGGCUGCCUCGUGUGUGGGUGGGUUGACGGUAGCUGGAUAAGAAGCGCCGGCUAACUACGUG
This 494-nucleotide ribosomal RNA is filed under the name uncultured bacterium. Its description in RNAcentral is "partial 16S ribosomal RNA". It matches the Rfam family "Bacterial small subunit ribosomal RNA", at positions 28 to 507 of the family's 1533-position model. The record is from RNAcentral.